RNAcentral lists this ribosomal RNA (460 nucleotides) under uncultured bacterium. RNAcentral's name for it is "partial 16S ribosomal RNA". It matches the Rfam family "Bacterial small subunit ribosomal RNA", at positions 30 to 523 of the family's 1533-position model. The record is from RNAcentral.
AUUGAACGCUGGCGGCGUGCUUAACACAUGCAAGUCGAACGCGAAAGGGACUUCGGUCCUGAGUAAAGUGGCGGACGGCUGAGUAACGCGUAGGAACGUACCCCAAGGUGAGGGAUAACUGCUCGAAAGAGUAGCUAAUACCGCAUGUGCUCUUCGGAGUAAAGCUUCGGCGCUUUGGGAACGGCCUGCGUCCUAUUAGCUAGUUGGUGAGGUAAUUGCUCACCGAGGCGACGAUAGGUAGCUGGUCUGAGAGGAUGAUCAGCCAGACUGGGACUGAGACACGGCCCAGACUCCUACGGGAGGCAGCAGUAGGGAAUUUUCCACAAUGGGCGAAAGCCUGAUGGAGCAACGCCGCGUGCAGGAUGAAUGCCUUCGGGUUGUAAACUGCUUUUUUCUGUGAUGAAUAUGACAGUAACAGACGAAUAAGGAUCGGCUAACUCCGUGCCAGCCGCCGCGGUAA